UGGGGAAUAUUGCACAAUGGGGGAAACCCUGAUGCAGCGACGCCGCGUGAACGAAGAAGGUAUUCGUAUCGUAAAGUUCUGUCCUAUGGGAAGAUAAUGACAGUACCAUAGAAGAAAGCUCCGGCUAAAUACGUGCCAGCAGCCGCGGUAAUACGUAUGGAGCGAGCGUUGUCCGGAAUUAUUGGGCGUAAAGGGUACGCAGGCGGUUUAAUAAGUCGAAUGUUAAAGAUCGGGGCUCAACCCCGUAAAGCAUUGGAAACUGAUAAACUUGAGUAGGGGAGAGGAAAGUGGAAUUCCUAGUGUAGUGGUGAAAUACGUAGAUAUUAGGAGGAAUACCAGUAGCGAAGGCGACUUUCUGGACACAAACUGACGCUGAGGUACGAAAGCGUGGGGAGCAAGCAGG
RNAcentral lists this ribosomal RNA (403 nucleotides) under bacterium. RNAcentral describes it as "partial 16S ribosomal RNA". It matches the Rfam family "Bacterial small subunit ribosomal RNA", at positions 355 to 776 of the family's 1533-position model. The record is from RNAcentral.